This 127-nucleotide small RNA is filed under the name Marmota monax (woodchuck). The record is from RNAcentral. Lineage: Eukaryota; Metazoa; Chordata; Mammalia; Rodentia; Sciuridae.
GCUGGGUGCAGUUGUGCAUGCCUGUAAUCCCAGUUGCUUGGGAGGCUGUGAGACAGGAGGAUCGGAAGUUCAAAGCCAGCCUCAGCAAAAGUGAGACGCCAAGCAACUCAGUGAGACCCUGUCUCUA